GUCACGGCUAACUACGUGCCAGCAGCCGCGGUAAUACGUAGGUGGCAAGCGUUAUCCGGAUUUAUUGGGCGUAAAGAGAGUGCAGGCGGUUUUCUAAGUCUGAUGUGAAAGACCUUCGGCUUAACCGGAGAAGUGCAUCGGAAACUAGGAUAACUUGAGUGCAGAAGAGGGUAGUGGAACUCCAUGUGUAGCGGUGGAAUGCGUAGAUAUAUGGAAGAACACCAGUGGCGAAGGCGGCUACCUGGUCUGCAACUGACGCUGAGACUCGAAAGCAUGGGUAGCGAACAGGAUUAGAUACCCUGGUAG
RNAcentral lists this ribosomal RNA (306 nucleotides) under uncultured bacterium. Its description in RNAcentral is "bacterial SSU rRNA". It matches the Rfam family "Bacterial small subunit ribosomal RNA", at positions 490 to 793 of the family's 1533-position model. The record is from RNAcentral.